RNAcentral lists this ribosomal RNA (253 nucleotides) under uncultured prokaryote. RNAcentral's name for it is "partial 16S ribosomal RNA". It matches the Rfam family "Bacterial small subunit ribosomal RNA", at positions 524 to 776 of the family's 1533-position model. The record is from RNAcentral.
UACGUAGGCAGCAAGCGUUGUUCGGAGUUACUGGGCGUAAAGGGUGCGUAGGCGGCUUCUUAAGUCUGGUGUGAAAUCUCCCGGCUCAACUGGGAGGGUGCGCCGGAUACUGAGGGGCUAGAGUGUGGGAGAGGAAAGUGGAAUUCCUGGUGUAGCGGUGAAAUGCGUAGAUAUCAGGAGGAACACCGGUGGCGAAGGCGGCUCACUGGACCACAACUGACGCUGAGGCGCGAAAGCUAGGGGAGCAAACAGG